This is a long non-coding RNA of Chinchilla lanigera (long-tailed chinchilla), 1045 nucleotides long. RefSeq lists it as uncharacterized. The transcript is spliced from 3 exons. Lineage: Eukaryota; Metazoa; Chordata; Mammalia; Rodentia; Chinchillidae. The record is from RefSeq and is a predicted model, not a curated record.
CCCACCGGAAGGAAGGCUACAAGGCAGCCGGGUGCCUAAGACGUGCUUGCCUAAGAAGCGUCGCGUUUGUUGGCGGCGUUAACCUUGUGCUGGAAAGUGCGAAUUCCUGAUUCCUACAUUUUAAAACAAGCAUUCCUGUGAUCCCGACGCAAGUCAGUUUUACUUGGAAGAUUAUGCUUCCAGGAGCUGGAGCUAUUUCUUACUUUCCUCAGUAGGCACCUCGUUCUCGGGACCUGUCACCACAGUUAAUAUCAACAUAUGGUGCCACGUACAGGGACUUGAGUACAAAAAUUCAGGAGAUAAAGUGUGCUUACCUGCUAGAAGAAUUAAACCUCGACAUGAGCCAUGAAAGAGUCAGAUAAGAUCUGAAUCCUCCCGUGGAAAAAAGGAGAGUGAUGCCACUACAGCACCAGCCUUGGAUAAUAAUCAGGAGCAUUCAGAAAGCAUAACCCCCCAAUUUAGGAACAACUUAAGAAAGUAACCCAUCGUCUGGAGAGCUGGCUGCGUUUCAGUGGAAAAUAUUUAUAGCUGGUAAUAUAUUUUUAGCCGUGUUGGCUGUCAUAGCCACUAUGAUAGGCAUUGACUUUAUAGAAUCAGGCAUAUAGGCCUGUAUUAAUUUGUGGUAUUGAAUUUAGAUAGCUUCUUGGUCUGCAUAAUACACGGGGACCAUUUAUAAUGACAGAUACUCAAAUUAUAAAUUUUUAAAAUUGUAAUAGAAUUACUACAGUAUGAUUUGGUAAAAGGUUUGUUUGAGUGCACUCUGAUUUUGUGUAAAUGUUUGUAUGUUCUGUGUACUUGUUACAUGUUUGUCUACCAUUUUGUGAACAGCUGUUCUUUUUGAGCUCAACAAAAUUUUUUCAUGAUACAAUUGGGGUGCAAAUCUAAAAGCAUGCUUUCUCUUAAAUUACCAGCUAGUCUAAAUGAAGAUAUUUAAAUAAAGAUAUUUAACUAUAAUCCUUGAGCAGAAACAUUGUUGGGUAGGACUCCAAUUGGUGAAUAAAGGGGUGGCCAACCUUUGUUCAUUAAUAAGGAGCCUCCAAUGAUC